GAUUAUCUCUCUCUCUCUAUAUAUAUAUAUAUCUAUAUAUCUAUCUAUCUAUCGAUAGAUAUAUAUAUAUAUAUAUAUAUAUAUGUAGAGAGAGAGAGAGAGAG
This is a non-coding RNA of Pelobates cultripes (western spadefoot toad), 104 nucleotides long. The record is from the annotation of a GenBank genome assembly. NCBI's taxonomy places the organism in Eukaryota, Metazoa, Chordata, Amphibia, Anura, Pelobatidae.